This 272-nucleotide ribosomal RNA is filed under the name uncultured Oxalobacter sp. RNAcentral's name for it is "partial 16S ribosomal RNA". It matches the Rfam family "Bacterial small subunit ribosomal RNA", at positions 65 to 339 of the family's 1533-position model. Lineage: Bacteria; Pseudomonadati; Pseudomonadota; Betaproteobacteria; Burkholderiales; Oxalobacteraceae. The record is from RNAcentral.
AACGGCAGCAUGGGGGCAACCCUGAUGGCGAGUGGCGAACGGGUGAGUAAUAUAUCGGAACGUACCCGAGAGUGGGGGACAACCAGUCGAAAGAUUGGCUAAUACCGCAUACGAUCUACGGAUGAAAGUGGGGGACCUUCGGGCCUCACGCUCCUGGAGCGGCCGAUAGCUGAUUAGCUAGUUGGUGGGGUAAAGGCCUACCAAGGCGAUGAUCAGUAGCUGGUCUGAGAGGACGAUCAGCCACACUGGGACUGAGACACGGCCCAGACUCC